This 304-nucleotide ribosomal RNA is filed under the name uncultured bacterium. Its description in RNAcentral is "partial 16S ribosomal RNA". It matches the Rfam family "Bacterial small subunit ribosomal RNA", at positions 506 to 809 of the family's 1533-position model. The record is from RNAcentral.
CAGCAGUAGCCGCGGUAAUACGAAGGGGGCUAGCGUUGUUCGGAUUUACUGGGCGUAAAGGGUGCGUAGGCGGAUUGUUAAGUCAGGGGUGAAAUCCCGAGGCUCAACCUCGGAACUGCCUUUGAUACUGGCGAUCUUGAGUCCGGGAGAGGUGAGUGGAACUGCGAGUGUAGAGGUGAAAUUCGUAGAUAUUCGCAAGAACACCGGUGGCGAAGGCGGCUCACUGGCCCGGAACUGACGCUGAGGCACGAAAGCGUGGGGAGCAAACAGGAUUAGAUACCCGCGUAGUCCCUGUCUCUUAUAU